This 750-nucleotide ribosomal RNA is filed under the name uncultured Bordetella sp. RNAcentral's name for it is "bacterial SSU rRNA". It matches the Rfam family "Bacterial small subunit ribosomal RNA", at positions 1 to 769 of the family's 1533-position model. The record is from RNAcentral. Lineage: Bacteria; Pseudomonadati; Pseudomonadota; Betaproteobacteria; Burkholderiales; Alcaligenaceae.
CGCCCUUAGAGUUUGAUCAUGGCUCAGAUUGAACGCUAGCGGGAUGCCUUACACAUGCAAGUCGAACGGCAACGGACUUCGGUCUGGGCGAGUGGCGAACGGGUGAGUAAUGUAUCGGAACGUGCCCAGUAGCGGGGGAUAACUACGCGAAAGCGUAGCUAAUACCGCAUACGCCCUACGGGGGAAAGCAGAUCGUUGCACUAUUGGAGCGGCCGAUAUCGGAUUAGCUAGUUGGUGGGGUAACGGCUCACCAAGGCGACGAUCCGUAGCUGGUUUGAGAGGACGACCAGCCACACUGGGACUGAGACACGGCCCAGACUCCUACGGGAGGCAGCAGUGGGGAAUUUUGGACAAUGGGGGAAACCCUGAUCCAGCCAUCCCGCGUGUGCGAUGAAGGCCUUCGGGUUGUAAAGCACUUUUGGCAGGAAAGAAACGUCAUGGGUAAUCCCGUGAACUGACGGUACCUGCAGAAUAAGCACCGGCUAACUACGUGCCAGCAGCCGCGGUAAUACGUAGGGUGCAAGCGUUAAUCGGAAUUACUGGGCGUAAAGCGUGCGCAGGCGGUUCGGAAAGAAAGAUGUGAAAUCCCAGAGCUUAACUUUGGAACUGCAUUUUUAACUACCGGGCUAGAGUGUGUCAGAGGGAGGUGGAAUUCCGCGUGUAGCAGUGAAAUGCGUAGAUAUGCGGAGACACCGAUGGCGAAGGCAGCCUCUGGGAUACACUGACGCUCAUGCACGAAGCGUGGGGAGG